Molecule: long non-coding RNA, 492 nt
Organism: Nycticebus coucang (slow loris)
Lineage: Eukaryota; Metazoa; Chordata; Mammalia; Primates; Lorisidae
Exons: 3
Source: RefSeq, a predicted model, not a curated record
CCUCUUUUGAAAACUGCCUGGCAUCACACCAACCUGCAGGUACUCUCACGAGGCAGAGUUCUCAAGCACCCAGAGAAGUAGUCAUUAUUAUGACGAUGUCCAUUUCACAGAGGAAGAACUCAGGCUGCAGAGUCUAGGUGAAGUCCCCCAAGCCAGCCUGGUGGUGACUAUGGCAUGUGCAGCCAGAGGCCUGGGCUCGUGCCUGGGCUCCCAUUCCAGCUGCAGUGUAACUGAGUGGCCUUGGGCAAGCAACUGCCUUGCAGUGCAGUAGAUGACAUCGGCUGCAGCCUUCUGUGCAGAUGGAGUGAUAAGCCUUAUGGCACUUUUGAAACCUGACCUGCCUCAGGGAUGCCCCUUGGGAGGGACCUGGAAGGGCCUCUGCACUCCCCUGUGCUGUCUGAAGGCUCAAGCUGUCACCCUGGGUAGAGUGCCGUGGCAUCACAACUCACAGCAACCUCCAACUCCUGGGCUGAAGCGAUUCUCCUGCCUCUG